This 468-nucleotide ribosomal RNA is filed under the name uncultured bacterium. RNAcentral's name for it is "partial 16S ribosomal RNA". It matches the Rfam family "Bacterial small subunit ribosomal RNA", at positions 28 to 507 of the family's 1533-position model. The record is from RNAcentral.
GACGAACGCUGGCGGCGUGCUUAACACAUGCAAGUCGAACGGAAAGGCCCUGCUUUUGUGGGGUGCUCGAGUGGCGAACGGGUGAGUAACACGUGAGUAACCUGCCCUUGACUUUGGGAUAACUUCAGGAAACUGGGGCUAAUACCGGAUAGGAGCUCCUGCUGCAUGGUGGUGGUUGGAAAGUUUCGGCGGUUGGGGAUGGACUCGCGGCUUAUCAGCUUGUUGGUGGGGUAGUGGCUUACCAAGGCUUUGACGGGUAGCCGGCCUGAGAGGGUGACCGGCCACAUUGGGACUGAGAGACGGCCCAGACUCCUACGGGAGGCAGCAGUGGGGAAUAUUGCACAAUGGGCGGAAGCCUGAUGCAGCAACGCCGCGUGCGGGAUGACGGGCUUCGGGUUGUAAACCGCUUUCGCAUGUGACGAAGCGUGAGUGACGGUAAUGGGUAAAGAAGCACCGGCUAACUACGUG